UACGGGGGGGGCAAGCGUUGUUCGGAAUUACUGGGCGUAAAGGGCUUGUAGGUGGCCAACUAAGUCAGACGUGAAAUCCCUCGGCUUAACCGGGGAACUGCGUCUGAUACUGGAUGGCUUGAAUCCGGGAGAGGGAUGCAGAAUUCCAGGUGUAGCGGUGAAAUGCGUAGAUAUCUGGAGGAAUACCGGUGGCGAAGGCGGCAUCCUGGACCGGCAUUGACGCUGAUGAGCGAAAGCUAGGGGAGCAAACGGG
This 253-nucleotide ribosomal RNA is filed under the name uncultured bacterium. RNAcentral describes it as "partial 16S ribosomal RNA". It matches the Rfam family "Bacterial small subunit ribosomal RNA", at positions 524 to 776 of the family's 1533-position model. The record is from RNAcentral.